UAACCUGCCUUGUAGCGGGGGAGUAACUAUUGGAAACGAUAGCUAAUACCGCAUAACAAUGGAUGACACAUGUCAUUUAUUUGAAAGGGGCAAAUGCUCCACUACAAGAUGGACCUGCGUUGUAUUAGCUAGUAGGUGAGGUAACGGCUCACCUAGGCGACGAUACAUAGCCGACCUGAGAGGGUGAUCGGCCACACUGGGACUGAGACACGGCCCAG
RNAcentral lists this ribosomal RNA (218 nucleotides) under uncultured bacterium. RNAcentral's name for it is "partial 16S ribosomal RNA". It matches the Rfam family "Bacterial small subunit ribosomal RNA", at positions 122 to 334 of the family's 1533-position model. The record is from RNAcentral.